Molecule: long non-coding RNA, 852 nt
Filed under: Heterocephalus glaber (naked mole-rat)
Lineage: Eukaryota; Metazoa; Chordata; Mammalia; Rodentia; Bathyergidae
Description: lncRNA (ENSHGLG00100038895.1)
Source: RNAcentral
CUGAGUAUUGGAUUGUGUCACUUGCUUGUUCUGAGCCUAUUGAUAUGAUAAUGUGAUUGUCCUUUUUCAGACUUCCAUGUGAUGAAUUUCAUUAAUUUUCAAACUAGCUUUCCAGACCUAAGUUAAAUCCCAAUUGGUUUUAAUGUAUAAUUCUUUAUACAUUGUAGGAUUCAAUUUACUGAUAUUUUGUUGAGGAUUUUUGCAUCUAUGUUCAUGAGAAAUAUUGCUCUGUAGUUCUUUUAUGUCUUUGCGUGGCUUGGUAAUAGGGUAAUGCUAGUCUGAAAUAAUUAAAGAGUAUUCCUCCUGCUUCUGUUGUCUGAAAGAGGUUGUAGAGAAUUGGUACAAUUUCUUUCUUAAAUGUGUGGUAGAAUCACCAGUGAACCAUCAUACUACCAAGCCUGGUGCUUUCUGUUUUAGAAAGUUAAUUAUUGAUUCAAUUUAUUUAAUAGCUAUAGACCCAGUCACAUUUUCUGUCUCUUAUGAGAGUUUUGACAGAUUAUAUCAUUCAAGGAAUUUGCUCUUUUCAUUUAGGUUAUCAAAUAUCUUUUGGCUGUUAGGAUUUAUAGCUGUGACAUCCAUCAUGAUGAUUCAAAGAGCCUAAUCAUCCAAUAAAACAUGCAGAAAAGUUUACAUGGAUGAUGUUUAUCUGAAUUAUUUGCUCAAGAGACAGAUAACUGGAUUGAACUUGGGACCUUGCGCUUUCGAGGCAGGCAGAGGAACCACUGAGCUAAAUCUCCAGCCCCCAAAUUUCCUUUUCAUAGCGAAAUGAAAGAAGAAAUCUACCAUGGACCCAAAAUAGUUGGAUGACAGCUCUUAACACCCCUCCCCAAAAAAUAAAAGUAUAAAGAAGAG